RNAcentral lists this transfer RNA (70 nucleotides) under Dipodomys ordii (Ord's kangaroo rat). It matches the Rfam family "tRNA". Rfam says of the family: Transfer RNA (tRNA) molecules are approximately 80 nucleotides in length. Their secondary structure includes four short double-helical elements and three loops (D, anti-codon, and T loops). Lineage: Eukaryota; Metazoa; Chordata; Mammalia; Rodentia; Heteromyidae. The record is from Rfam by way of RNAcentral.
GGUAGUGUGGCUUAGUGGUAGAGUGUUUGUCUUGCAUGUAUGAAGUCCUGGGUUUGAUUCCUCAGUACCA